Molecule: ribosomal RNA, 242 nt
Filed under: uncultured bacterium
Lineage: Bacteria
Description: partial 16S ribosomal RNA
Rfam family: Bacterial small subunit ribosomal RNA
Source: RNAcentral
ACACGUAUCCAACCUGCCGUCUACUCUUGGACAGCCUUCUGAAAGGAAGAUUAAUACGAGAUGGCAUCAUGAGUCCGCAUGUUCACAUGAUUAAAGGUAUUCCGGUAGACGAUGGGGAUGCGUUCCAUUAGAUAGUAGGCGGGGUAACGGCCCACCUAGUCUUCAAUGGAUAGGGGUUCUGAGAGGAAGGUCCCCCACAUUGGAACUGAGACACGGUCCAAACUCCUACGGGAGGCAGCAUG